ACCAGGAGUGGUGGCACGCGCCUGUAUUCCAGCUACACUGGAGGCCAAGGCAGGAGGAUUGCUCGAGCCGGGGAGUGUUGGGCUGUAGUGCAAUAUGCCGACUGGGUGUCCGCACUAAGUUUGGCAUCAGUGUGGUUACCUCUCUGGAGCAGGGGACUAUCAGGUUGCCUACGGAGGGAUGAACUGGCCCAGGUCGGAAACGGAGCAGGUCAAAACUCCUGUGUUGAUUAGUAGUGGGAUUGAGCCUGUGAAUGAAUACCCACUGCACUCUACCAGGGCAACACAGCGAGACCCCAUCUCU
Molecule: signal recognition particle RNA, 301 nt
Filed under: Microcebus murinus (gray mouse lemur)
Lineage: Eukaryota; Metazoa; Chordata; Mammalia; Primates; Cheirogaleidae
Description: Metazoan signal recognition particle RNA (ENSMICG00000032587.2)
Rfam family: Metazoan signal recognition particle RNA
About the family: The signal recognition particle (SRP) is a universally conserved ribonucleoprotein. It is involved in the co-translational targeting of proteins to membranes. The eukaryotic SRP consists of a 300-nucleotide 7S RNA and six proteins: SRPs 72, 68, 54, 19, 14, and 9.
Source: RNAcentral